UAUAGGUUCCUAAUUUUUGGGGUAAAUGGGAAGCAAAAAAGCUGACCCGCAGCCGUGAGAGAGGACGAUUCCAUAAUAGCCACUGUGAUUAUUUUCAUGGGAAGGCAUGGAGGAGGACGAUACUUGAGCCGGCAAACCAGCCUAUAUGA
This 149-nucleotide non-coding RNA is filed under the name uncultured Mailhella sp. The record is from RNAcentral. Lineage: Bacteria; Pseudomonadati; Thermodesulfobacteriota; Desulfovibrionia; Desulfovibrionales; Desulfovibrionaceae.